AAUUUUUACUCAUUCCCUACUCGGACAUUAGAAAGUUGUUCGCCCUAUAUCGGCAAGAAAUUAAAACAGAUGUUCACCCGGUACAUGCAACUGAGCUGCUGCCAAAAAUUUCAUGCAAAGACACAAUGAAGAAUCACAUGCGCACAAUCCUUAAUUUGAUCAGAACAUAAAUCACAAAAUUAAUUGUUUGCAUCAAUAAUAUUGCAGUGAGCCAAAAGAGCUUUGCACUGUAGUCUAUCCCACACAAGCUUCCAAAGGAAUGUUUGAAUCUUCCGAGGCACCUUCAAAGCCCAGAUCCACCCAGAGUUCACCUGCAUAGGGAGAGAAUAAUUAGGAGUAAUAAAGUAUUUUAUGUCUUGUAAUGAUACCUUCAAACUCUUGGAUGAUGCCCAAACAAGUUGAUCCAGCCAUGUGCCCUGCGCCAAAGGAAUUUUGAUAAUUAAAUUGAUGAGAUCAGUAGAAAAAAAAUAAUAAGAGAUGGUGCAAAUCCCACCACCUAUCAGCCGUAAUAAAAUAUGAGACCUGUAAAUUAAUAUCUAUAUUGUCUAUAUUUAUAAAUAUUGGCCAAAAUAUGAUGGAAAUAUUUGUAAUCCAUGACUCUUUGUAAACAUUAAUGGAAUGACCUGAUCCAACCAACUAUUAAAAUUGAAAUUUAAUGUGGGUUGCAGUGUUUGAAAUCUUCUUCCAAAUAAUAAAAGAACCUUGGUGACAUUUGCGGUCAACCCAGGUUCCAUGAAAAUAAUAUUUUGCUGUGACAAAUUGGGCCCACAAAAAAGAAGAUUGCAAAAUUACCUGAGCAGCUUUUUUUUUUUUUUUUUGAUGAAUUGGAGAGUAGUAGGAAUAUCCAACUACUCACCAAAGAUUUUAUUAAGAAAGAAUCAAGUAAUUACAAUGAGUUAGGUACAGAAGGCAGAAAAGAAAGCUUCUUUCUUGAGAAGGAUUACAGUAGAACAUACAGUACAAGAAACCAAGAUGAUAGAAAGAGUGGAGACUCAUACAAUCACAGGUAUAAUCCAAAAUAGAAUAGUAUGGAUAGUCACAAGUAUAAC
Molecule: long non-coding RNA, 1049 nt
Filed under: Elaeis guineensis (African oil palm)
Lineage: Eukaryota; Viridiplantae; Streptophyta; Magnoliopsida; Arecales; Arecaceae
Description: long non-coding RNA (EGUI_LNC081272)
Source: RNAcentral